Molecule: ribosomal RNA, 433 nt
Filed under: uncultured bacterium
Lineage: Bacteria
Description: partial 16S ribosomal RNA
Rfam family: Bacterial small subunit ribosomal RNA
Source: RNAcentral
AACGAACGCUGGCGGCAUGCCUAACACAUGCAAGUCGAACGAGACCUUCGGGUCUAGUGGCGCGCGGGUGCGUAACGCGUGGGAACCUGCCCUUAGGUUCGGAAUAACUCCCCGAAAGGGGUGCUAAUACCGGAUAAUGUCUUCGGACCAAAGAUUUAUCGCCUUUGGAUGGGCCCGCGUUGGAUUAGCUAGUUGGUAGGGUAAAAGCCUACCAAGGCGACGAUCCAUAGCUGGUCUGAGAGGAUGAUCAGCCACACUGGGACUGAGACACGGCCCAGACUCCUCCGGGAGGCGGCAGGGGGGGAUAGUGGAAAGUGGGGGAAGGCCUGAAGGAGCAAGGCCGGGUGAGUGAUGAAGGCCGUGGGGUUGAAAAGCUUUUUUACCCGGGAUGAUAAUGACGGUACCGGGAGAAUAAGCCCCGGCUAACUCCGUG